GAUGAACGCUGGCGGCGUGCUUAACACAUGCAAGUCGAACGGAAAGGCCCAAGCUUGCUUGGGUACUCGAGUGGCGAACGGGUGAGUAACACGUGGGUGAUCUGCCCUGCACUUCGGGAUAAGCCUGGGAAACUGGGUCUAAUACUGGAUAGGACCACUUCUUGGAUGGUGUGGUGGAGAGUUUUUUCGGUGUGGGAUGAGCUCGCGGCCUAUCAGCUUGUUGGUGGGGUAAUGGCCUACCAAGGCGUCGACGGGUAGCCGGCCUGAGAGGGUGUACGGCCACAUUGGGACUGAGAUACGGCCCAGACUCCUACGGGAGGCAGCAGUGGGGAAUAUUGCACAAUGGGCGCAAGCCUGAUGCAGCGACGCCGCGUGGGGGAUGACGGCCUUCGGGUUGUAAACUCCUUUCGCUAGGGACGAAGCGUUUUUGUGACGGUACCUGGAGAAGAAGCACCGGCUAACUACGUG
RNAcentral lists this ribosomal RNA (468 nucleotides) under uncultured bacterium. RNAcentral's name for it is "partial 16S ribosomal RNA". It matches the Rfam family "Bacterial small subunit ribosomal RNA", at positions 28 to 507 of the family's 1533-position model. The record is from RNAcentral.